UACGAAGGGGGCUAGCGUUGUUCGGAAUCACUGGGCGUAAAGGGCGCGUAGGCGGCUUUGUAAGUCGGGGGUGAAAGCCUGUGGCUCAACCACAGAAUUGCCUUCGAUACUGCAUGGCUUGAGACCGGAAGAGGUUAGUGGAACUGCGAGUGUAGAGGUGAAAUUCGUAGAUAUUCGCAAGAACACCAGUGGCGAAGGCGGCUCGAUGAGUCCGGAUCGACGCUGAGGCGCGAAAGC
Molecule: ribosomal RNA, 237 nt
Filed under: uncultured bacterium
Lineage: Bacteria
Description: partial 16S ribosomal RNA
Rfam family: Bacterial small subunit ribosomal RNA
Source: RNAcentral